GCGGGAUUAGUUGAGUGGCUCAACGCGACCUUCCCAAGGUUGAAAGGCGGGUUCGACUCCCGUAUCCCGCU
Non-coding RNA from Parcubacteria bacterium DG_74_3, 71 nucleotides. The record is from Rfam. Lineage: Bacteria; Candidatus Parcubacteria.